AACAGCUCAAAUUUGAAAUCUGGCCUCUUCGGGGUCCGAGUUGUAAUUUGUAGAGGGUGUUUCGGGCGCGAUGCCGGUCUAAGUUCCUUGGAACAGGAUGUCGCAGAGGGUGAGAAUCCCGUACGCGACCGGUGAUCAAGCCUAUGUGAAGCCCCUUCGACGAGUCGAGUUGUUUGGGAAUGCAGCUCAAAAUGGGUGGUAAAUUUCAUCUAAAGCUAAAUAUUGGCCAGAGACCGAUAGCGGACAAGUAGAGUGAUCGAAAGAUGAAAAGCACUUUGGAAAGAGAGUCAAACAGUACGUGAAAUUGUUGAAAGGGAAGCGCUUGCAAUCAGACCGGUCCGGAGGCGAUCAGCCGUCUGCUCGUUCAGCGGUGCACUCGCCUGCGAUCCGGCCAGCAUCGGUUUGGGCGGUGGGAUAAAAGUCCCGGGAAUGUAGCUUCUCUUGGGGAGUCUUAUAGCCCGGGUCGCAAUGCCGCCUGCCCGGACCGAGGACCGCGCUUCGGCUAGGAUGCUGGCGUAAUGGUUGCAAGCGACC
This 534-nucleotide ribosomal RNA is filed under the name Sticta aff. laciniosa 3 JAMD-2022. Its description in RNAcentral is "partial large subunit ribosomal RNA". It matches the Rfam family "Eukaryotic large subunit ribosomal RNA", at positions 103 to 649 of the family's 3401-position model. Lineage: Eukaryota; Fungi; Ascomycota; Lecanoromycetes; Peltigerales; Lobariaceae. The record is from RNAcentral.